UUUGAAUUGCUGAAUUAUAAGAAGCAUGCCUUGGACUUUGGGCUAAUACUCUUACCCUACAUAUUGAGUGAAAUUUCAUCUUAUUUCCAACACCAUUACAUCCUCAGCAGUUUUUUGUGGUUCAUAAAUAUUCUUUGUAACUUUUAUUUCUUAUGUAUCAUUCUUUGUUCCCAAGUGUCUUUAUUUUUCUUCAAGGUAGAAGAUGUUGUUAGCCCAAAUAAAUCGAGAUUCUCAGGGAAUGACAGAGUUUCCUGGAGGAGGGAUGGAGGCGCAACAUGUUACCCUGUGCUUGACAGAGGCAGUCACCGUGGCAGAUGGUGACAACUUAGAAAAUAUGGAAGGCGUAAGCUUGCA
Molecule: small RNA, 354 nt
Filed under: Pongo abelii (Sumatran orangutan)
Lineage: Eukaryota; Metazoa; Chordata; Mammalia; Primates; Hominidae
Description: retained intron
Source: RNAcentral